GACGUAGGAUGCAAGCGUUGUCCGGAAUUAUUGGGCGUAAAGAGUUCGUAGGUGGUGUCUUAAGUCUGAUGUUAAAGACCGGAGCUCAACUCCGGCAUGGCAUCGGAAACUGGGACGCUAGAGUGCGGAAGAGGUAACUGGAAUUCCAGGUGUAGCGGUGAAAUGCGUAGAUAUCUGGAGGAACACCAGUGGCGAAAGCGAGUUACUGGUCCGCAACUGACGCUGAGGAACGAGAGCUAGGGUAGCAAAAGGG
This 253-nucleotide unclassified non-coding RNA is filed under the name uncultured cyanobacterium. RNAcentral describes it as "contains 16S-23S intergenic spacer region". It matches the Rfam family "Bacterial small subunit ribosomal RNA", at positions 524 to 776 of the family's 1533-position model. The record is from RNAcentral. Lineage: Bacteria; Bacillati; Cyanobacteriota.